Molecule: transfer RNA, 69 nt
Filed under: Annamanum lunulatum
Lineage: Eukaryota; Metazoa; Arthropoda; Insecta; Coleoptera; Cerambycidae
Description: tRNA-Ser
Source: RNAcentral
AGUUAAUGAACUUGUUAUAAGUUUAUAUUUUGAAAAUAUAGUAAAGAGGCAAUAAUCCUCUAUUAACUU